GGGUUGUGAGGUUAAGCGACUAAGCGUACACGGUGGAUGCCCUGGCAGUCAGAGGCGAUGAAGGGCGUGCUAAUCUGCGAUAAGCGCCGGUAAGGUGAUAUGAACCGUUAUAACCGGCGAUACCCGAAUGGGGAAACCCAGUGUGAUUCGUCACACUAUCAUUAACUGAAUCCAUAGGUUAAUGAGGCGAACCGGGGGAACUGAAACAUCUAAGUACCCCGAGGAAAAGAAAUCAACCGAGAUUCCCCCAGUAGCGGCGAGCGAACGGGGAGGAGCCCAGAGCCUGAAUCAGCAUGUGUGUUAGUGGAAGCGUCUGGAAAGGCGCGCGAUACAGGGUGACAGCCCCGUACACAAAAGCGCAUGUGCUGUGAGCUCGAUGAGUAGGGCGGGACACGUGGUAUCCUGUCUGAAUAUGGGGGGACCAUCCUCCAAGGCUAAAUACUCCUGACUGACCGAUAGUGAACCAGUACCGUGAGGGAAAGGCGAAAAGAACCCCGGCGAGGGGAGUGAAAAAGAACCUGAAACCGUGUACGUACAAGCAGUGGGAGCACCCUUUGGGUGUGACUGCGUACCUUUUGUAUAAUGGGUCAGCGACUUAUAUUCUGUAGC
Molecule: ribosomal RNA, 609 nt
Filed under: Salmonella enterica subsp. enterica serovar Enteritidis
Lineage: Bacteria; Pseudomonadati; Pseudomonadota; Gammaproteobacteria; Enterobacterales; Enterobacteriaceae
Description: partial 23S ribosomal RNA
Rfam family: Bacterial large subunit ribosomal RNA
Source: RNAcentral